CAACUAUCAAGCCUGGCUUGUCGUUGGACUCCUUUGUCGUCGAGAGCCGACAGGUCCGAAAGAUAAUGACGGUGUCGUGUUUGACCCUAGAUGCAACGAGCUUUUAUAGCACGCAUUGAUGUGGUCGGGCGGCCCGGUCUUAAACCCCCCAUUUUCUUAAGGUUGACCUCGGAUCAGGUAGGAAUACCCGCUGAACUUAA
Molecule: unclassified non-coding RNA, 200 nt
Filed under: soil metagenome
Description: partial contains internal transcribed spacer 2 and large subunit ribosomal RNA
Source: RNAcentral